GAUGAACGCUGGCGAGAUGCCUUACACAUGCAAGUUGUACGAGAAUUUUAAAUUCAAGUGGCGGACGGGUGAGUAACACGUAAGAAUUUGCCUUUAGGAGGGGGACAACAACUGGAAACGGUUGCUAAUACCCCAUAUGCUUUCGAGUGAAACGGAGUUUUCCGCCUGAAGAGAAGCUUGCGCCUGAUUAGCUUGUUGGUGAGGUAAUGGCUCACCAAGGCGACGAUCAGUAUCUGGUUUGAGAGGAUGAUCAGACACACUGGAACUGAGACACGGUCCAGACUCCUACGGGAGGCAGCAGUGGGAAUUUUCCGCAAUGGGCGAAGGCCUGACGGAGCAAUCUCGCGUGAGGGAUGACGGCCUAUGGGUUGU
RNAcentral lists this ribosomal RNA (372 nucleotides) under uncultured bacterium. RNAcentral describes it as "bacterial SSU rRNA". It matches the Rfam family "Bacterial small subunit ribosomal RNA", at positions 28 to 426 of the family's 1533-position model. The record is from RNAcentral.